RNAcentral lists this ribosomal RNA (232 nucleotides) under uncultured bacterium. RNAcentral describes it as "partial 16S ribosomal RNA". It matches the Rfam family "Bacterial small subunit ribosomal RNA", at positions 118 to 347 of the family's 1533-position model. The record is from RNAcentral.
UGAGCAAUCUGCCCUUCUCAUCGGAAUAAGCGUGGGAAACGACGUCUAAUGCCGAAUACGACCUCCGUUCACAUGAUCGGAGGUGGAAAGCUCCGGCGGAGAAGGAUGAGCUCGCGGCCUAUCAGCUAGUUGGUGUGGGUAACGGCCCACCAAGGCGACGACGGGUAGCCGGCCUGAGAGGGUGACCGGCCACACUGGGACUGAGACACGGCCCAGACCUCCGUACGGGAGG